Long non-coding RNA from Branchiostoma floridae (Florida lancelet), 912 nucleotides. RefSeq lists it as uncharacterized. NCBI's taxonomy places the organism in Eukaryota, Metazoa, Chordata, Leptocardii, Amphioxiformes, Branchiostomatidae. The transcript has 3 exons. The record is from RefSeq and is a predicted model, not a curated record.
UCACGUGCUGCGGUCUGACCUCUCCCGACAACUGGGCCGACCCCAGUGCACAAACCGUCUGCGCAUGCCCCACGGCGGAUCUGGGCACCAACAAGUGCGAAGAUGUAGGCGGCACAGAGUACAGGCUGUCGUGCGUGGACGAGCUGAAGUUGUACCUGGAGCAGAACAUCAUCAUCGUAGGAGCGGUGGCGCUGGGGGUCGCUGCUGUAGAGGUCUUUGGGAUCAUCUUCGCCUGCGUCCUAUUGCGACAGGCGGACAAGGAAACCAGUGGUAUCGCAUAGCCAUGUUUUUGCCUAUUGACGGAGGAAUAUAUCUUAUGACGUAGUUCUUGGACAUUCCAAACAGUAAAACAAUUGUUAUUGAAGAAAUUGCUACCACCAGAGUUGAAUAAUUGAAAUAUCAAGUCGUUUGUAUCAGAGCCUGGCCAGUCAAAGUAGAAGUAGCAGAAUGACCAAAACGUUCGCUAUUGGCCAAAAAUGAAACGUGGAUAUUAAUAUUGUUAAUUUUAGUUACUUUAUCAUGUACUUUACUGCAUUCAAUACAGGUAACCAUUACCUCAUGUAAGAAAGUCAAUUAGCUUUGAAAAUAAUGUUCUUUCACAUGUAUUUUUCAUAUCACACUUAGUGCAUUGGUGUACAUUUUUUUUUUCAAUUGAUUUGAUUUCCACUUUUUAACAAGUAAUCAGAUGUCUCAUUUGGGACAAUAUGAUAGAGCCAGGGAACAUGUUGUUAGUAACACGCACCAAGUUUUUGUAUUGUUUCUGUUCCUGUUUUAGUAUUUGUUAUUACGUUGGUCGCGAAUCUAAAGUAAGGACGUGCUGCUAUGGCAAAUUGUUAUUUUGGGAGUCUUGUCAUGUAUCGAAAAAUGUCACACAACUAAGGCAAAUUGAUAUAAAAAGACAGCUACACUGAA